RNAcentral lists this ribosomal RNA (253 nucleotides) under uncultured bacterium. Its description in RNAcentral is "partial 16S ribosomal RNA". It matches the Rfam family "Bacterial small subunit ribosomal RNA", at positions 524 to 776 of the family's 1533-position model. The record is from RNAcentral.
UACAGAGGGUGCGAGCGUUAAUCGGAAUUACUGGGCGUAAAGCGUGCGUAGACGGUUAUUUAAGUCGGGUGUGAAAGCCCCGGGCUCAACCUGGGAAUUGCAUUCGAGACUGAAUAGCUAGGGUACGGUAGAGGGAAGUGGAAUUUCCGGUGUAGCGGUGAAAUGCGUAGAUAUCGGAAGGAGCAUCAGUGGCGAAAGCGACUUCCUGGACCAGUACCGACGUUCAGGCACGAAAGCGUGGGGAGCAAACAGG